RNAcentral lists this ribosomal RNA (500 nucleotides) under uncultured bacterium. RNAcentral's name for it is "partial 16S ribosomal RNA". It matches the Rfam family "Bacterial small subunit ribosomal RNA", at positions 30 to 523 of the family's 1533-position model. The record is from RNAcentral.
AUUGAACGCUGGCGGCAUGCUUUACACAUGCAAGUCGAACGGCAGCACGGACUUCGGUCUGGUGGCGAGUGGCGAACGGGUGAGUAAUACAUCGGAACGUACCCAGUAAUGGGGGAUAACUAUCCGAAAGGAUAGCUAAUACCGCAUACGCCCUACGGGGGAAAGAGGGGGAUCGCAAGACCUCUUGUUAUUGGAGCGGCCGAUGGCUGAUUAGCUAGUUGGUGGGGUAAAGGCCUACCAAGGCAACGAUCAGUAGCGGGUCUUAGAGGACGAUCCGCCACACUGGAACUGAGACACGGUCCAGACUCCUACGGGAGGCAGCAGUGGGGAAUCUUGGACAAUGGGCGCAAGCCUGAUCCAGCAAUGCCGCGUGCGUGAAGAAGGCCUUCGGGUUGUAAAGCGCUUUUGUCAGGGAGCAAAUCCUUGUGGUUAAUACCCACCGGGGAUGAGAGUACCUGAAGAAUAAGGACCGGCUAACUACGUGCCAGCCGCCGCAGUAA